This 447-nucleotide ribosomal RNA is filed under the name Pilatobius recamieri. Its description in RNAcentral is "eukaryotic LSU rRNA". It matches the Rfam family "Eukaryotic large subunit ribosomal RNA", at positions 76 to 503 of the family's 3401-position model. The record is from RNAcentral. Lineage: Eukaryota; Metazoa; Tardigrada; Eutardigrada; Parachela; Hypsibiidae.
UCCCAUAGUAACUGCGAGUGAAAGGGGAAAAGCCCAGCGCCGAAUCCUGCUGCUGGUGACGGUGGCAGGAACUGUGGCGUGAAGAAGGUGUCUAUCGGUGUGGCUCGCUGGCGUAAGUUCUCCUGAGUGAGGCUCCAUCCCAUGGAGGGUGCAAGGCCCGUGUCGUGAGCAGCCGUCGCUGAUGUGCACCUUCAGAGAGUCGCCUUGUUUGCGAGUACAAGGUGAAGUCGGUGGUAAACUCCAUCGAAGGCUAAAUAUGACCACGAGUCCGAUAGCGAACAAGUACCGUGAGGGAAAAUUGAAAAGCACUUUGAAGAGAGAGCGAAACAGUGCGUGAAACCGCUCAGAGGCAAGCAGAUGGGGCCUCGAAGGCAGAGCAUCGAAUUCAGCCGGCUGUCCGUGCGGUUGGCUGGGAGUGGAGAGCGCAAGCCUCUGCCUGGCCGACUG